This 500-nucleotide ribosomal RNA is filed under the name uncultured bacterium. RNAcentral describes it as "partial 16S ribosomal RNA". It matches the Rfam family "Bacterial small subunit ribosomal RNA", at positions 30 to 523 of the family's 1533-position model. The record is from RNAcentral.
AUCGAACGCUAGCGGGAUGCCUUACACAUGCAAGUCGAACGGCAGCACGGACUUCGGUCUGGUGGCGAGUGGCGAACGGGUGAGUAAUGUAUCGGAACGUGCCCAGUAGCGGGGGAUAACUACGCGAAAGCGUAGCUAAUACCGCAUACGCCCUACGGGGGAAAGCAGGGGAUCGUAAGACCUUGCACUAUUGGAGCGGCCGAUAUCGGAUUAGCUAGUUGGUGAGGUAAUGGCUCACCAAGGCGACGAUCCGUAGCUGGUUUGAGAGGACGACCAGCCACACUGGGACUGAGACACGGCCCAGACUCCUACGGGAGGCAGCAGUGGGGAAUUUUGGACAAUGGGGGAAACCCUGAUCCAGCCAUCCCGCGUGUGCGAUGAAGGCCUUCGGGUUGUAAAGCACUUUUGGCAGGAAAGAAAUGGCGUGUGUUAAUACCAUGCGCAGAUGACGGUACCUGCAGAAUAAGCACCGGCUAACUACGUGCCAGCCGCCGCCGUAA